RNAcentral lists this ribosomal RNA (505 nucleotides) under uncultured bacterium. RNAcentral describes it as "partial 16S ribosomal RNA". It matches the Rfam family "Bacterial small subunit ribosomal RNA", at positions 28 to 507 of the family's 1533-position model. The record is from RNAcentral.
GACGAACGCUGGCGGCGUGCCUAAUACAUGCAAGUAGAACGCACAGUUUAUACCGUAGCUUGCUACACCAUAGACUGUGAGUUGCGAACGGGUGAGUAACGCGUAGGUAACCUGCCUGGUAGCGGGGGAUAACUAUUGGAAACGAUAGCUAAUACCGCAUAAUAUUAAUUAUUGCAUGAUAAUUAAUUGAAAGGUGCAAUUGCACCACUACCAGAUGGACCUGCGUUGUAUUAGCUAGUAGGUGAGGUAACGGCUCACCUAGGCGACGAUACAUAGCCGACCUGAGAGGGUGGUCGGCCACACUGGGACUGGGACACGGCCCAGACUCCUACGGGAGGCAGCAGUAGGGAAUCUUCGGCAAUGGACGGAAGGCUGACCGAGCAACGCCGCGUGAGUGAAGAAGGGUUUCGGAUCGUAAAGCUCGGCUGUAAGAGAAGAACGGGUGUGAGAGUGGAAAGUUCACACUGUGACGGUAUCUAACCAGAAAGGGACGGCUAACUACGUG